Molecule: ribosomal RNA, 445 nt
Filed under: uncultured bacterium
Lineage: Bacteria
Description: partial 16S ribosomal RNA
Rfam family: Bacterial small subunit ribosomal RNA
Source: RNAcentral
GUGGGGAAUAUUGGUCAAUGGAGGCAACUCUGAACCAGCCAUGCCGCGUGCAGGAAGACGGCCCUCUGGGUUGUAAACUGCUUUUAUCCGGGAAUAAACCUGCCUUCGUGAAGGUAGCUGAAUGUACCGGAAGAAUAAGGAUCGGCUAACUCCGUGCCAGCAGCCGCGGUAAUACGGAGGAUCCAAGCGUUAUCCGGAUUUAUUGGGUUUAAAGGGUGCGUAGGCGGCCUGUUAAGUCAGGGGUGAAAGACGGUGGCUCAACCAUCGCAGUGCCCUUGAUACUGAUGGGCUUGAAUGGACUAGAGGUAGGCGGAAUGUGACAAGUAGCGGUGAAAUGCAUAGAUAUGUCACAGAACACCGAUUGCGAAGGCAGCUUACUAUGGUCCUAUUGACGCUGAGGCACGAAAGCGUGGGGAUCGAACAGGAUUAGAAACCCCGGUAGUCC